AUGCACGCUGGCGGUAUGCUUAACCCAUGCAAGUCGAACGGACUCUUCGGAGUUAGUGGCGGACGGGUGAGUAACGCGUGAGAAUCUGGCUUUGGGUUCGGGACAUCCACUGGAAACGGUGGCUAAUACCGGAUGUGCCGAGAGGUAAAAGAGAAAUUGCCUGAAGAUGAGCUCGCGUCUGAUUAGCUAGUUGGUGAGGUAAAGGCUCACCAAGGCAGCGAUCAGUAGCUGGUCUGAGAGGAUGACCAGCCACACUGGGACUGAGACACGGCCCAGACUCCUACGGGAGGCAGCAGUGGGGAAUUUUCCGCAAUGGGCGAAAGCCUGACGGAGCAAUACCGCGUGAGGGAAGAAGGCUCUUGGGUUGUAAACCUCUUUUCUUAGGGAAGAACAAAAUGACGGUACCUAAGGAAUCAGCAUCGGCUAACUCCGUG
Molecule: ribosomal RNA, 434 nt
Filed under: uncultured bacterium
Lineage: Bacteria
Description: partial 16S ribosomal RNA
Rfam family: Bacterial small subunit ribosomal RNA
Source: RNAcentral